This 252-nucleotide ribosomal RNA is filed under the name uncultured bacterium. RNAcentral's name for it is "partial 16S ribosomal RNA". It matches the Rfam family "Bacterial small subunit ribosomal RNA", at positions 525 to 776 of the family's 1533-position model. The record is from RNAcentral.
ACGGAGGGGGCUAGCGUUGUUCGGAAUUACUGGGCGUAAAGCGCACGUAGGCGGACUAUUAAGUCGAGGGUGAAAUCCCAGGGCUCAACCCUGGAACUGCCUUCGAUACUGGUAGUCUAGAGAUCGAGAGAGGCGAGUGGAAUUCCGAGUGUAGAGGUGAAAUUCGUAGAUAUUCGGAGGAACACCAGUGGCGAAGGCGGCUCGCUGGCUCGAUACUGACGCUGAGGUGCGAAAGCGUGGGGAGCAAACAGG